AAGUGUUCAGCGUUCAGAUGGUUACGUGAUACUUUGGCGCCGCCAUGUGGAAGAAAUUWGUAGAAACCAUGGACAAAGAACCUACAUUUUAUGUCCCCUUUGGUUUGCCGUAGSCAGUGUUAAUGGCACGAUGGUAAAAAAGGAGAUCUUGGAAUACUGUAUUUUGGCGGAAACCUCUUCUGUAACAGCAUCAGUGCCUCGCUUUGCACUGGAGAGGGCUUGCAGUAGCUCYCGUUGAUGGUCCUAGCCGUGGGAGGUAGAUGGAUUGGGAUGAUCCACACGUUGACUAAUGGUUGUUCUGAAAAACAAAAUGUAUUUAGCUUAAGAGAUGACCUCAAAUGAUACAUCUCAGAAGAUCAUCACAGCGCCGUGACUAGCGCACUCUCCAUUGUGUGCAGCAGAAUGUCUCCACGGGUGGCGACUCUGCUGUCCGGACUGUGGCUGUURUUGGUUCUGUCUUGUGCUGCUAGGUCGAUGUGGCAAGCCUGUGACAAUGGGAAGCUCUUGCUGGGGAGAGACCUGCCCCCAUCAGUUGUAUGGAGCUGUCCUGUGAUUUCCUGGCCAGAGUCCACUACCCAGAAGAUUCCUAGCAUUGACACAGAGUAUCCUCCACAGCCGAUUGAGCACGUCUGCAUGGACACACCCAUCACCUACAAUCACACUAUCCCCAACAGUGGAGCUCACCGGACUGUAGGGGCAGAGAGUGGAGAGUACCUGUACUGCCCCCCUCAACGCUGGCUCAAUAACCUGCAGGUAACCACUAAAACCAUGA
Molecule: non-coding RNA, 772 nt
Organism: Salvelinus sp. IW2-2015
Lineage: Eukaryota; Metazoa; Chordata; Actinopteri; Salmoniformes; Salmonidae
Source: RefSeq, a predicted model, not a curated record